CCACCACCAAAGCAUUUGCUGUACCGCGUUGACGGAGCGAAGCGACGUCAAACCGAUAAAACAGCAGUGUAAAGUGAGCCGCAGGGCGCUUUGCGCGACAGCGCAAAGGCAGGCGGUUUCGCGUAGCGAAAGCGAAUGCUUUGGGGUGGGGUGACUGCGUACCUUUUGUAUAAUGGGUCAGCGACUUAUAUUCUGUAGCAAGGUUAACCGAAUAGGGGAGCCGGAGGGAAACCGAGUCUUAAUUGGGCGUUAAGUUGCAGGGUAUAGACCCGAAACCCGGUGAUCUAGCCAUGGGCAGGUUGAAGGUUGGGUAACACUAACUGGAGGACCGAACCGACUAAUGUUGAAAAAUUAGCGGAUGACCUGUGGCUGGGGGUGAAAGGCCAAUCAAACCGGGAGAUAGCUGGUUCUCCCCGAAAGCUAUUUAGGUAGCGCCUCGUGAAUUCAUCUCCGGGGGUAGAGCACUGUUUCGGCUAGGGGGCCAUCCCGGCUUACCAACCCGAUGCAAACUGCGAAUACCGGAGAAUGUUAUCACGGGAGACACACGGCGGGUGCUAACGUCCGUCGUGAAGAGGGAAACAACCCAGACCGCCAGCUAAGGUCCCAAAGUCAUGGUUAAGUGGGAAACGAUGUGGGAAGGCCCAGACAGCCAGGAUGUUGGCUUAGAAGCAGCCAUCAUUUAAAGAAAGCGUAAUAGCUCACUGGUCGAGUCGGCCUGCGCGGAAGAUGUAACGGGGCUAAACCAUGCACCGAAGCUGCGGCAGCGACGCUUAUGCGUUGUUGGGUAGGGGAGCGUUCUGUAAGCCUGCGAAGGUGGCC
This 819-nucleotide ribosomal RNA is filed under the name Salmonella enterica subsp. enterica serovar Enteritidis. RNAcentral's name for it is "partial 23S ribosomal RNA". The stretch from base 131 to 819 matches the Rfam family "Bacterial large subunit ribosomal RNA", at positions 572 to 1261 of the family's 2925-position model. Lineage: Bacteria; Pseudomonadati; Pseudomonadota; Gammaproteobacteria; Enterobacterales; Enterobacteriaceae. The record is from RNAcentral.